Molecule: ribosomal RNA, 521 nt
Filed under: Trichoderma sp. AH-Group-1
Lineage: Eukaryota; Fungi; Ascomycota; Sordariomycetes; Hypocreales; Hypocreaceae
Description: eukaryotic LSU rRNA
Rfam family: 5.8S ribosomal RNA (bases 178-331)
Source: RNAcentral
CAUGUGACGUUACCAAACUGUUGCCUCGGCGGGAACUCAUGCCCCGGGUGCGUCGCAGCCCCGGACCAAGGCGCCCGCCGGAGGACCAACCAAAACUCUUUUUGUAUACCCCCUCGCGGGUUUUUUAUAAUCUGAGCCUUCUCGGCGCCUCUCGUAGGCGUUUCGAAAAUGAAUCAAAACUUUCAACAACGGAUCUCUUGGUUCUGGCAUCGAUGAAGAACSCASCGAAAUGCGAUAAGUAAUGUGAAUUGCAGAAUUCAGUGAAUCAUCGAAUCUUUGAACGCACAUUGCGCCCGCCAGUAUUCUGGCGGGCAUGCCUGUCCGAGCGUCAUUUCAACCCUCGAACCCCUCCGGGGGGUCGGCGUUGGGGAUCGGCCUUCCUUCACGGGGGCCGUCUCCGAAAUACAGUGGCGGUCUCGCCGCAGCCUCUCCUGCGCAGUANUUUGCACACUCGCAUCGGGAGCGCGGCGCGUCCACAGCCGUUAAACACCCAACUUCUGAAAUGUUGACCUCGGAUCANG